Molecule: ribosomal RNA, 250 nt
Filed under: uncultured bacterium
Lineage: Bacteria
Description: partial 16S ribosomal RNA
Rfam family: Bacterial small subunit ribosomal RNA
Source: RNAcentral
GACAGAGGGUGCAAACGUGUUCGGAUUUACUGGGCGUAAAGCGCGUGUAGGCGGCUUGGCAAGUUGGAUGUGAAAGCCCACGGCUCAACCGUGGAAGCGCAUCCAAAACUGCUUCGCUCGAGUCUCGGAGAGGAAGGUGGAAUGCUUGGUGUAGAGGUGAAAUUCGUAGAUAUCAAGCAGAACACCUGCGGCGAAGGCGGCCUCUGGACGAUGACUGACGUGAGACGCGAAAGCGUGGGGAGCAAACAGG